This 640-nucleotide ribosomal RNA is filed under the name Chryseobacterium arthrosphaerae. RNAcentral describes it as "bacterial SSU rRNA". It matches the Rfam family "Bacterial small subunit ribosomal RNA", at positions 94 to 731 of the family's 1533-position model. Lineage: Bacteria; Pseudomonadati; Bacteroidota; Flavobacteriia; Flavobacteriales; Weeksellaceae. The record is from RNAcentral.
AGCGGGGAACGGGGGCGGAACACGCGUGCAACCUGCCCUUAUCAGGGGGAUAGCCUUUCCAAAGGGAAAGCAAUACCCCAUAAUAUAUCGAGUGGGAUCACUUGGGAUUGAAAACUCCUUGUGGAUAUAGAUGGGCCUGCGCCAGAUUAGAUAGUUGGUGAGGUAACGGCUCACCAAGGCUGCGAUCUUUAGGGGGCCUGAGAGGGUGAUCCCCCACACUGGUACUGAGACACGGACCAGACUCCUACGGGAGGCAGCAGUGAGGAAUAUUGGACAAUGGGUGCGACCCUGAUCCAGCCAUCCCGCGUGAAGGAUGACGGCCCUAUGGGUUGUAAACUUCUUUUGUAUAGGGAUAAACCUACCCUCUAGAAGUCUUGUGAAGGGACUAUACCACUAAGCACCGGCUAACUCCAUGUCUGCGGCCGCGGUCAUACGGAUGGUGAAGGCGUUAUCCGGAUUUAUUGUGUCUGAAGGGUCCGUAGGCGGAUCUGUAUUUUUAUGGCGAAAUCUCACACCUUAACUGUGACUCUGCCAUUGAUACUGCAGGUGUUGAGUGUUGUUGAAGUAGCUGAUAUAAGAAUUGCAGCGGUGAAAUGCAUAUAUAUUACUUACAACACCGAUUAGCGAUGGCAGGUUACUA